This is a non-coding RNA of Acanthosepion pharaonis, 100 nucleotides long. The record is from the annotation of a GenBank genome assembly. NCBI's taxonomy places the organism in Eukaryota, Metazoa, Mollusca, Cephalopoda, Sepiida, Sepiidae.
CGGCCGCAUCACGUUAAAACACCGGUUCUCGUACGAUCACCGAAUUUAAGUAAUGUCAAGCCUGGUCAGUACCUACAUGGGUGACCGCGUGGGAAUACCA